UCCGUCACUGUUACUACUGCU
This 21-nucleotide microRNA is filed under the name Parasteatoda tepidariorum (common house spider). Its description in RNAcentral is "pte-miR-11940-5p". The record is from miRBase by way of RNAcentral. Lineage: Eukaryota; Metazoa; Arthropoda; Arachnida; Araneae; Theridiidae.